This 305-nucleotide ribosomal RNA is filed under the name uncultured bacterium. RNAcentral's name for it is "partial 16S ribosomal RNA". It matches the Rfam family "Bacterial small subunit ribosomal RNA", at positions 508 to 807 of the family's 1533-position model. The record is from RNAcentral.
ACAGCAGCCGCCGCGGGAAAACGGAGGGUGCAAGCGUUAUCCGGAUUUAUUGGGUUUAAAGGGUCCGUAGGCGGAUCUGUAAGUCAGUGGUGAAAUCUCACAGCUUAACUGUGAAACUGCCAUUGAUACUGCAGGUCUUGAAUAAAUUUGAAGUGGCUGGAAUAAGUAGUGUAGCGGUGAAAUGCAUAGAUAUUACUUAGAACACCAAUUGCGAAGGCAGGUCACUAAGAUUUAACUGACGCUGAUGGACGAAAGCGUGGGGAGCGAACAGGAUUAGAUACCCCCGUAGUCCCUGUCUCUUAUAC